AGUGAACGCUGGCGGUAGGCCUAACACAUGCAAGUCGAACGACAGCACAGUAAGAGCUUGCUCUUACGGGUGGCGAGUGGCGGACGGGUGAGGAAUACAUCGGAAUCUACUUUUUCGUGGGGGAUAACGUAGGGAAACUUACGCUAAUACCGCAUACGACCUACGGGUGAAAGCAGGGGAUCUUCGGACCUUGCGCGAUUGAAUGAGCCGAUGUCGGAUUAGCUAGUUGGCGGGGUAAAGGCCCACCAAGGCGACGGUCCGUAGCUGGUCUGAGAGGAUGAUCAGCCACACUGGAACUGAGACACGGUCCAGACUCCUACGGGAGGCAGCAGUGGGGAAUAUUGGACAAUGGGCGCAAGCCUGAUCCAGCCAUACCGCGUGGGUGAAGAAGGCCUUCGGGUUGUAAAGCCCUUUUGUUGGGAAAGAAAAGCAGCAGGUUAAUACCCCGCUGUUCUGACGGUACCCAAAGAAUAAGCACCGGCUAACUUCGUG
Molecule: ribosomal RNA, 492 nt
Filed under: uncultured bacterium
Lineage: Bacteria
Description: partial 16S ribosomal RNA
Rfam family: Bacterial small subunit ribosomal RNA
Source: RNAcentral